This is a long non-coding RNA of Equus caballus (horse), 1575 nucleotides long. The record is from Ensembl. NCBI's taxonomy places the organism in Eukaryota, Metazoa, Chordata, Mammalia, Perissodactyla, Equidae.
UUUGGUUCUUCUUCAAAACUGUCUGUUCCUCUUCAAAAUGUCUUUUGUAUUCACUUGGUAUCGGCUUUUAUUAUCUCCCUACUGAAUUAUUACCAAGACCUCCUGACUAUCUUCUCGACUUUGCCCACUGCUGCAUCCAGCUUGGCCACUACCUUGACAUGAAGCUCUCUAAAAUGGUGGCGUCCUCAUGUUACUCGUUUGACUACAAGCCUCUAAGGCCUCCGCCAGAGCAACAGAAAUACCGUGGAGUGAUGGACUUUUGAACUGAUAAUGAGCAACUAUCAUUUAUAUAAUGAAAUAACUUUUUUCAGAAAAAGUAUAGAUAGGCUACUGUUGAAUGAUGAAGUCUAGAAGCGUCAAGACUAGGAAAACUUAACAAGUUUUAGAGUUGAAGUUUUUCAGUACACUUUAGAGAGCGGUUUCAAAAGACUCUUGGAGUCCAAAGCUCAAUGGCGGAUUGCGGUGAGAGCGAUGUUUAAGAGAGGUGUACUCCAAAGGGCACGGAUUGGUAGUGUGGCCUCCACUUCUCCUGGGAGAUUUCCUCUUCCAGACUCCUCAGCCUGUCAUCGAGCCUCCCACAGGCAGUAAAUGGACCAGGUGAGGAAUUCAUUCCCGGCUGCUUUGAAAGGAUACUGAGUGACAGAGCCCUUGGAAGGCUGCUAUCUCCUAAGCAUGCAGAUGACGGGCUAAUACGAUAACUAUCUGGGAGCUUGCUGACUGUGAAGAGGUCCUGUUCAUUUCCAUUUUGGCUUCUUGAGAGGUUCCUCAAUUGGAGUUGGACACUGCAUGGGCCCACAUUUUGUCCCUGUGAACACAGUUCCAACCAUAAAACAGGCAAAUAGGCAGCUGUGAAUGCUUCUCAGGGGGUACCUCACCCCAACCAUAACUGUCUGAACCCUGAGAACACAAGAGUCAGAGACUGGAGAAAAGUAGAGAUUUUCCUUAUUUUCAUUGCCACUCAAGAGAUGGGAAGGUAGAGUGUUGUUUUUGUUGUUUAAUGACUGCAUACUAUUUGAUUCUCUUUCCAUCAAGAGGUGAGGUCUUUGAAGGCUCCCCUGGAAUCUGGGUGGGCUCUGUGACAGCUUCGACCAGUAGACUAUGGUGGAAAUAAUACUUAUGACUUUCAAGGUUAGAUCAUAAAAGGCCAUGCAACUUCUACCUGGCUCUCCUGGGGCACUUAUCUUGGGGAAAGCCAGUGCCCAUGCAAGAAGAACAAGUAACCUGCACCCACUGUGCUGCAGAUGCUUCAUGAGAGGACUUUGGUCUUCAGUCCCAAUUUGAGCCCCACAAUCCAGUCGUCCCCACCAAGGCACCAGACAUGUCAGUGAGGUUGUCCUGGUCCCUCCAGAUCAGCCCUUCUGCCGGCUGAGAGCCAAUUAGGGACCUUGGUAAAUGCCAGGAGGAACAAAAGAACCACCCAGAUCAACAAGAUCUGAUCUGCUAGCAAAAUGUGGAUGCUGAAAAGUAUAAAUGUCAGAAGACCCAAGGUUUAAGGAGGACACUAAGAAAGAUGUACUACAUUUUUAUUCUCCUCGAGAAAAUCUAUUAUAGUGUUUCAAAAAUAAGAUGUCGUCC